Molecule: ribosomal RNA, 925 nt
Filed under: uncultured bacterium
Lineage: Bacteria
Description: bacterial SSU rRNA
Rfam family: Bacterial small subunit ribosomal RNA
Source: RNAcentral
AAUNGCGAAGCCUGAUGCAGCAACGCCGCGCUGCGGGAUGACGGCCUUCGGGUUGUAAACCGCUUUCAGCUCCGACGAAGCGCAAGUGACGGUAGGAGCAGAAGAAGGACCGGCCAACUACGUGCCAGCAGCCGCGGUGAUACGUAGGGUCCGAGCGUUGUCCGGAAUUAUUGGGCGUAAAGGGCUUGUAGGCGGUUUGUCACGUCGGAAGUGAAAACUCAGGGCUUAACCCUGAGCCUGCUUCCGAUACGGGCAAACUAGAGGAAUGCAGGGGAGAAUGGAAUUCCUGGUGGAGCGGUGGAAUGCGCAGAUAUCAGGAGGAACACCAGUGGCGAAGGCGGUUCUCUGGGCAUUUCCUGACGCUGAGAAGCGAAAGCGUGGGGAGCAAACAGGCUUAGAUACCCUGGUAGUCCACGCCGUAAACGGUGGGCACUAGGUGUGGGACUCAUUCCACGAGUUCCGUGCCGUAGCUAACGCAUUAAGUGCCCCGCCUGGGGAGUACGGCCGCAAGGCUAAAACUCAAAGGAAUUGACGGGGGCCCGCACAAGCGGCGGAGCAUGCGGAUUAAUUCGAUGCAACGCGAAGAACCUUACCUGGGUUUGACAUAUACCGGAAAGCUGCAGAGAUGUAGCCCCCGCAAGGUCGGUAUACAGGUGGUGCAUGGCUGUCGUCAGCUCGUGUCGUGAGAUGUUGGGUUAAGUCCCGCAACGAGCGCAACCCUCGUCCUAUGUUGCCAGCGGAUAAUGCCGGGGACUCAUAGGAGACUGCCGGGGUCAACUCGGAGGAAGGUGGGGAUGACGUCAAGUCAUCAUGCCCCUUAAGUCCAGGGCUUCACGCAUGCUACAAUGGCUGGUACAAAGGGCUGCAAUACCGCAAGGUUGAGCGAAUCCCAAAAAGCCAGUCUCAGUUCGNAUUGGGGUCUGCA